AAUCAACGCUGGCGGCGUGCCUCAGACAUGCAAGUCGAACGAUUAAAGCUCUCUUCGGAGAGUGUAUAGAGUGGCGCACGGGUGAGUAACACGUAAGUAAUCUACCUUCGAGUGGGGAUAACGUCCGGAAACGGACGCUAAUACCGCAUAAUGCAGCGGCAUCGCAAGAUGACAGUUGUUAAAGAUUUAUCGCUUGAAGAGGAGCUUGCGGCAGAUAGCUAGUCGGUAAGGUAAUGGCUUACCAAGGCUACGAUCUGUAACCGGUCUAAGAGGACGGUCGGUCACACUGACACUGAAUAACGGGUCAGACUCCUACGGGAGGCAGCAGUCGGGAAUUUUUGGGCGAAUGGGCGAAAGCCUGACCCAGCAACGCCGCGUGAAGGAUGAAGUAAUUUCGGUA
This 400-nucleotide ribosomal RNA is filed under the name uncultured bacterium. Its description in RNAcentral is "bacterial SSU rRNA". It matches the Rfam family "Bacterial small subunit ribosomal RNA", at positions 32 to 423 of the family's 1533-position model. The record is from RNAcentral.